UUCCGGUUGAUCCUGCCGGAGGCCAUUGCUAUCGGGGUCCGAUUAAGCCAUGCUAGUCGUACGGGUUCAGACCCGUGGCGAACAGCUCAGUAACACGUGGCCAAACUACCCUGUAGAUCAGAAUAACCUCGGGAAACUGAGGCUAAUACUGAAUAAGGCUCCCACCCUGGAAUGGGGGGAGCUGGAAACGCUCAGGCGCUACAGGAUGUGGCUGCGGUCGAUUAGGUAGACGGUGGGGUAACGGCCCACCGUGCCGAUAAUCGGUACAGGUUGUGAGAGCAAGAGCCUGGAGACGGUAUCUGAGACAAGAUACCGGGCCCUACGGGGCGCAGCAGGCGCGAAACCUUUACACUGCACGAAAGUGCGAUAAGGGGAUCCCGAGUGCGAGGGCAUACAGUCCUCGCUUUUGUGUACCGUAAGGUGGUACACGAAUAAGAGCUGGGCAAGACCGGUGCCAGCCGCCGCGGUAAUACCGGCAGCUCGAGUGAUGGCCGCUAUUAUUGGGCCUAAAGCGUCCGUAGCCGGCCGGACAGGUCCGUUGGGAAAUCCAUCUGCCUAACAGAUGGGCGUCCAGCGGAAACCAGUCGGCUUGGGGCCGGAAGACCUGAGGGGUACGUCCGGGGUAGGAGUGAAAUCCUGUAAUCCUGGACGGACCGCCGGUGGCGAAAGCGCCUCAGGAGGACGGACCCGACGGUGAGGGACGAAAGCUAGGGUCACGAACCGGAUUAGAUACCCGGGUAGUCCUAGCUGUAAACGAUGAUCGCUAGGUGUGGCGCUGGCUACGAGCCAGCGCUGUGCCGUAGGGAAGCCGUGAAGCGAUCCGCCUGGGAAGUACGUCCGCAAGGAUGAAACUUAAAGGAAUUGGCGGGGGAGCACUACAACCGGAGGAGCCUGCGGUUUAAUUGGAUUCAACGCCGGG
Molecule: ribosomal RNA, 919 nt
Filed under: uncultured archaeon
Lineage: Archaea
Description: bacterial SSU rRNA
Rfam family: Archaeal small subunit ribosomal RNA
Source: RNAcentral